CAGUGUCGAGACGCAGAUUCCAAUCUACCAGAGAAUCCAAUAUAUACUCAGCUUCACCAUGUGUUGUGCCUGGGCAGAACGUUUCAGAUAAGCAUUCAGUGGACAGAUGCUCUGUGUGCAUUACUUGUUAUUGACCAGACCUACCCGCUGAAAAUAUAUUAAGAAUUGAAAAUGUAUUACCCUCAAGGUGGUGAUGGUCAUGACUCUACUUCCUGAACCAUUGAAGGCCAUUUGGAGUUCCAGGGUUUUUAAUCCAACAAAAAUGCAGCAACAGCAAUAUAGUUCCAAGAAAGGAGGUGACUUGGACAUGAAGUUUAUCAUAUUGAACGCAUAUUGAAAAUGUGAUUUGUCUAAUCACACUUUUUUUGUUAUUUGCCCUGUCCUAAAACAGGCACAUGCCUUUUUGUUACAUAUUUGGCUGCCCAUCAUUUUGUAAUACAUCUUCUCCCAAAGCCCCACAGUGAA
This is a non-coding RNA of Chiloscyllium plagiosum (whitespotted bambooshark), 465 nucleotides long. The record is from RefSeq and is a predicted model, not a curated record. NCBI's taxonomy places the organism in Eukaryota, Metazoa, Chordata, Chondrichthyes, Orectolobiformes, Hemiscylliidae.